Molecule: ribosomal RNA, 157 nt
Filed under: uncultured Cortinarius
Lineage: Eukaryota; Fungi; Basidiomycota; Agaricomycetes; Agaricales; Cortinariaceae
Description: 5.8S ribosomal RNA
Rfam family: 5.8S ribosomal RNA
About the family: 5.8S ribosomal RNA (5.8S rRNA) is a component of the large subunit of the eukaryotic ribosome.
Source: RNAcentral
AACUUUCAGCAACGGAUCUCUUGGCUCUCGCAUCGAUGAAGAACGCAGCGAAAUGCGAUAAGUAAUGUGAAUUGCAGAAUUCAGUGAAUCAUCGAAUCUUUGAACGCACCUUGCGCCCCUUGGUAUUCCGAGGAGCAUGCCUGUUUGAGUGUCAUUA